CAAGUCGAGCGAGAAGCCUAGAAAUGAUUCUUCGGUUGAUUUUCUAGGUGGACAGCGGCGAAAGGGAGAGUAACGCGUAGAUCACGUACCCUAGGGUUUGGGAUAGCGGGGGGAAACCGCCGGUAAUACCGAAUAAUGUCUCCGGACCAAAGAUUUAUCACCCUGGGAGCGGUCUGCGUCCUAUUAGUUUGUUGGUGGGGUAAAAGCCUACCAAGGCAAAGAUGGGUAGCGGGUGUGAGAGCAUGGCCCGUCUCACUGGGACUGAGACACUGCCCAGACACCUACGGGUGGCUGCAGUCGAGAAUCUUCCGCAAUGGACGAAAGUCUGACGGAGCGACGCCGCGUGCGGGAUGAAGGCCUUCGGGUUGUAAACCGCUGUCAGAGGGGAGCAAAUUUUGAGCGAUCCUCAGAGGAAGCACAGGCUAAGUUCGUGCCAGCAGCCGCGGUAAUACGAACUGUGCGAACGUUAUUCGGAAUCACUGGGCUUAAAGGGUGCGUAGGCGGCGAUAUAGGUCAGGUGUGAAAUCCCACGGCUCAACCGUGGAACUGCGCUUGAAACCAUGUUGCUUGAGGAAGUCAGAGGUAAGCGGAACUGAUGGUGGGAGCGGUGAAAUGCGUUGAUAUUAUCAGGAACACCGGUGGCGAAAGCGGC
This 652-nucleotide ribosomal RNA is filed under the name uncultured bacterium. RNAcentral describes it as "bacterial SSU rRNA". It matches the Rfam family "Bacterial small subunit ribosomal RNA", at positions 58 to 725 of the family's 1533-position model. The record is from RNAcentral.